CGCCGCAGUAUUAUGACUGUGCUAAGGUAGCAUAAUAAUUUGUCUUUUAAAUGGGGACUGGAAUGAAAGGUUUUAUGGGGGUAUGUUAAUGAUUUAAUGAGUUAUUGAAGUUAAGGUUUAAGUUAAAAUUCUUAAAAUUAUUUGAGGGACGAGAAGACCCUGUGGAUCUUUAUUUUACGUAUAAUAAAUUAUUAUAAAUGUUUUAUUAUUUUAAAAAUUUGAUUGGGACGAUUAUUAUUUUAACAUGAUUUUGAGGGUUUAUGUUGAUCCUAUAAAAGGAAUUAAGAUUAAGUUACCCCAGGGAUAACAGCGUUAUAUUAUUGGAUAGUUCAUAUUGAUAAUAAUGUUUGCGACCUCGAUGUUGAAUUAAAAUUUCUUUUUAAAGUAGAAGUUAAAUUAGUAAGUCUG
RNAcentral lists this ribosomal RNA (408 nucleotides) under Eucypris virens. Its description in RNAcentral is "partial 16S ribosomal RNA". It matches the Rfam family "Bacterial large subunit ribosomal RNA", at positions 1929 to 2579 of the family's 2925-position model. The record is from RNAcentral. Lineage: Eukaryota; Metazoa; Arthropoda; Ostracoda; Podocopida; Cyprididae.